This 74-nucleotide transfer RNA is filed under the name Penaeus vannamei (Pacific white shrimp). RNAcentral's name for it is "Litopenaeus vannamei (Pacific white shrimp) tRNA". It matches the Rfam family "tRNA". Rfam says of the family: Transfer RNA (tRNA) molecules are approximately 80 nucleotides in length. Their secondary structure includes four short double-helical elements and three loops (D, anti-codon, and T loops). The record is from Rfam by way of RNAcentral. Lineage: Eukaryota; Metazoa; Arthropoda; Malacostraca; Decapoda; Penaeidae.
GCCUCCAUGGCAUAAUCGGUUAGCGCGUCCGGCUGUUAACCGAAAGGUUGGUGGUUCGAUCCCACCCGGGGGCG